UACGAAGGGGGCUAGCGUUGCUCGGAAUCACUAGGCGUAAAGCGCACGUAGGCGGAUGUGUCAGUCAGGGGUGAAAUCCCGGGGCUCAACCUCGGAACUGCCUUUGAUACAGCACGUCUCGAGUCCGGAAGAGGUGGGUGGAAUUCCUAGUGUAGAGGUGAAAUUCGUAGAUAUUAGGAAGAACACCGGUGGCGAAGGCGGCCCACUGGUCCGGUACUGACGCUGAGGUGCGAAAGCGUGGGGAGCAAACAGG
RNAcentral lists this ribosomal RNA (253 nucleotides) under uncultured bacterium. RNAcentral's name for it is "partial 16S ribosomal RNA". It matches the Rfam family "Bacterial small subunit ribosomal RNA", at positions 524 to 776 of the family's 1533-position model. The record is from RNAcentral.